This 73-nucleotide transfer RNA is filed under the name Camelus bactrianus (Bactrian camel). It matches the Rfam family "tRNA". From Rfam's summary of the family: Transfer RNA (tRNA) molecules are approximately 80 nucleotides in length. Lineage: Eukaryota; Metazoa; Chordata; Mammalia; Artiodactyla; Camelidae. RNAcentral also lists the same sequence under 2 other names. The record is from Rfam by way of RNAcentral.
GAGGGUGUAGCUCAAGUGGUAGAGCACAUGCUUAGCAUGCACGAGGUCCUGGGUUCAAUCCCCCGCACCUCCU